Oncorhynchus keta (chum salmon) is the source of this 295-nucleotide long non-coding RNA. RefSeq lists it as uncharacterized. The record is from RefSeq and is a predicted model, not a curated record. The transcript has 3 exons. Lineage: Eukaryota; Metazoa; Chordata; Actinopteri; Salmoniformes; Salmonidae.
CCUGCUUUAAGUUACAGUUUUACUGUGAACACUGAGGCUGUACCUGCUUUAAGUUACAGUUUUACUGUGAACACUGAGGCUCUACCUGCUUUAAGUUACAGUUUUACUGUGAACACUGAGGCUGUACCUGCUUUAAGUUACAGUUUUACUGUGAACACUGAGGCUCUACCUGCUUUAAGUUACAGUUUUACUGUGAACACUGAGGCUGUACCUGCUUUAAGUUACAGUUUUACUGUGAACACUGAGGCUGUACCUGCUUUAAGUUACAGUUUUACUGUGAACACUGAGGCUCUAC